UGGGGAAUAUUGGACAAUGGGCGAAAGCCUGAUCCAGCAAUGCCGCGUGAGUGAUGAAGGCCUUAGGGUUGUAAAGCUCUUUUACCCGGGAUGAUAAUGACAGUACCGGGAGAAUAAGCCCCGGCUAACUCCGUGCCAGCAGCCGCGGUAAUACGGAGGGGGCUAGCGUUGUUCGGAAUCACUGGGCGUAAAGCGCACGUAGGCGGAUGUGUCAGUCAGGGGUGAAAUCCCGGAGCUCAACUUCGGAACUGCCCUUGAUACAGCACGUCUUGAGUCCGGAAGAGGUGGGUGGAAUUCCUAGUGUAGAGGUGAAAUUCGUAGAUAUUAGGAAGAACACCGGUGGCGAAGGCGGCCCACUGGUCCGGUACUGACGCUGAGGUGCGAAAGCGUGGGGAGCAAAC
RNAcentral lists this ribosomal RNA (401 nucleotides) under uncultured bacterium. Its description in RNAcentral is "bacterial SSU rRNA". It matches the Rfam family "Bacterial small subunit ribosomal RNA", at positions 355 to 773 of the family's 1533-position model. The record is from RNAcentral.